UUUCGAUAAGAGCAACCCCAUUGCAAGGUGGGCGCGCAAAACCAUGGGUCCGGGAAUCCCGGAUCGCCAGGCUGCCGAA
RNAcentral lists this non-coding RNA (79 nucleotides) under Desulfuromonadaceae bacterium. RNAcentral describes it as "c-di-GMP sequence". It matches the Rfam family "c-di-GMP-I riboswitch aptamer". Rfam says of the family: GEMM was predicted in a large-scale screen for bacterial structured RNA regulatory elements. Lineage: Bacteria; Pseudomonadati; Thermodesulfobacteriota; Desulfuromonadia; Desulfuromonadales; Desulfuromonadaceae. The record is from RNAcentral.